GUCUUUAAGGUUCAAAGAAAAUAUCUAACUUGCUGGGUCUAAGGAUUUUGAACCGUAUUGACGUUUGGAAUGUGCUAGACUUAAGGCUAGGUAUGUAUUAACAAGCUCAGAAGACGUGUUUCGCGACUACAUGUAGCUGGCGCUCUCGCACCCCGAGCGGCUGGUGCGCGCGCGGCACAACAACAACGAAGGGGAACAACCAACUGAAUGACGAAACGCCCCAGGGGUGAAGCGACGAUGGCUGUGGUAACACGACGACUGGAUGACGUCACGCCGGUGACGUCACACGUGCAUUGCGACCGGUGAAGAAAACUACGAGGUAUAUUAUUCCAUUAUACAAAUAGACGUUGACGCUAACAGUAGACAACGAAGGCCUACGAUGAUAAAAACUCAGUGUAACUAAUGAAUUGUAAUA
Long non-coding RNA from Ostrinia furnacalis (Asian corn borer), 415 nucleotides. RefSeq lists it as uncharacterized. The transcript is spliced from 2 exons. Lineage: Eukaryota; Metazoa; Arthropoda; Insecta; Lepidoptera; Crambidae. The record is from RefSeq and is a predicted model, not a curated record.